UUCCUUGUACACACCGCCCGUCACACCAUGAGAGUUUGUAACACCCGAAGCCGGUGGCGUAACCCUUUUAGGGAGCGAGCCGUCUAAGGUGGGACAAAUGAUUAGGGUGAAGUCGUAACAAGGUAGCCGUAGGAGAACCUGCGGCUGGAUCACCUCCUCUCUAAGGAAACAGCCUGAAAUUGGACGAAAACUCGCCCCCCC
This 201-nucleotide unclassified non-coding RNA is filed under the name Lactobacillus sp. RNAcentral's name for it is "partial contains 16S ribosomal RNA and 16S-23S ribosomal RNA intergenic spacer". The stretch from base 1 to 160 matches the Rfam family "Bacterial small subunit ribosomal RNA", at positions 1377 to 1533 of the family's 1533-position model. Lineage: Bacteria; Bacillati; Bacillota; Bacilli; Lactobacillales; Lactobacillaceae. The record is from RNAcentral.